ACGGGUGAGUAACGCGUGGGAAUCUACCCAUCUCUACGGAACAACUCCGGGAAACUGGAGCUAAUACCGUAUACGUCCUUCGGGAGAAAGAUUUAUCGGAGAUGGAUGAGCCCGCGUUGGAUUAGCUAGUUGGUGGGGUAAUGGCCUACCAAGGCGACGAUCCAUAGCUGGUCUGAGAGGAUGAUCAGCCACACUGGGACUGAGACACGGCCCAGACUCCUACGGGAGGCAGCAGUGGGGAAUAUUGGACAAUGGGCGCAAGCCUGAUCCAGCCAUGCCGCGUGAGUGAUGAAGGCCCUAGGGUUGUAAAGCUCUUUCAACGGUGAAGAUAAUGACGGUAACCGUAGAAGGAGCCCCGGCUAACUUCGUGCCAGCAGCCGCGGUAAUACGAAGGGGGCUAGCGUUGUUCGGAAUUACUGGGCGUAAAGCGCACGUAGGCGGAUACUUAAGUCAGGGGUGAAAUCCCGGGGCUCAACCCCGGAACUGCCUUUGAUACUGGGUAUCUCGAGUCCGGAAGAGGUGAGUGGAAUUCCGAGUGUAGAGGUGAAAUUCGUAGA
This 557-nucleotide ribosomal RNA is filed under the name uncultured Mesorhizobium sp. RNAcentral describes it as "bacterial SSU rRNA". It matches the Rfam family "Bacterial small subunit ribosomal RNA", at positions 102 to 694 of the family's 1533-position model. The record is from RNAcentral. Lineage: Bacteria; Pseudomonadati; Pseudomonadota; Alphaproteobacteria; Hyphomicrobiales; Phyllobacteriaceae.